Molecule: ribosomal RNA, 497 nt
Filed under: uncultured bacterium
Lineage: Bacteria
Description: partial 16S ribosomal RNA
Rfam family: Bacterial small subunit ribosomal RNA
Source: RNAcentral
GAUGAACGCUGGCGGCGUGCCUAAUACAUGCAAGUCGAGCGAACGGACGAGAAGCUUGCUUCUCUGAUGUUAGCGGCGGACGGGUGAGUAACACGUGGAUCACCUACCUAUAAGACUGGGAUAACUUCGUGAAACCGGAGCUAAUACCGUAUAAUAUUUUGAACCGCAUGGUUCAAAAGUGAAAGACGGUCUUGCUGUCACUUAUAGCUGGAUCCGCGCUGCAUUAGCUAGUUGGUAAGGUAACGGCUUACCAAGGCAACGAUGCAUAGCCGACCUGAGAGGGUGAUCGGCCACACUGGAACUGAGACACGGUCCAGACUCCUACGGGAGGCAGCAGUAGGGAAUCUUCCGCAAUGGGCGAAAGCCUGACGGAGCAACGCCGCGUGAGUGAUGAAGGUCUUCGGAUCGUAAAACUCUGUUAUUAGGGAAGAACAUAUGUGUAAGUAACUGUGCACAUCGUGACGGUACCUAAUCAGAAAGCCACGGCUAACUACGUG